Molecule: ribosomal RNA, 79 nt
Filed under: Chryseobacterium sp. FH1
Lineage: Bacteria; Pseudomonadati; Bacteroidota; Flavobacteriia; Flavobacteriales; Weeksellaceae
Description: partial 16S ribosomal RNA
Rfam family: Bacterial small subunit ribosomal RNA
Source: RNAcentral
ACAUACAAUGGAGAGUUUGAUCCUGGCUCAGGAUGAACGCUAGCGGGAGGCCUAACACAUGCAAGCCGAGCGGUAGAAG